AUGGCAAAGGGGUUCUUCUCUUCUUCCUCCUCGCGCGCUCAUCGCCGUGUAGCUUGGGUGCUGCUUUGCCUUUGCAUGCUCCUAUGCACAGUGCACGGAGGAUCAUCAUCUCGCAAGGUCUACAUAGUUUACCUAGGCGACGUGAAGCAUGGGCACCCCGACCACGUUGUGGCUUCGCACCAUGACAUUCUCACCACUCUUCUCGGAAGCAAGGAAGAAUCUUUGGCAUCUGUGGUGUACAACUACAAGCAUGGCUUCUCAGGCUUCGCCGCCAUGCUUACACCGGAGCAAGCAGAGCAACUUGCAGAGUUUCCGGAGGUAAUCAGCGUCGAACCAAGCAGAAGGCACAAGGCAAGCACCACGCGGAGCUGGGACUUUCUUGGGCUCAACUACCAGAUGUCUGGCAGUGCGCUUCCCCACGGGACCAACUACGGAGAGGAUGUGAUCAUCGGGGUGAUUGACACCGGGAUCUGGCCGGAGUCGCGAAGCUUUAGCGAUGAAGGGUACCCACCGAUACCAUCAAGGUGGAAAGGGAUGUGCCAACUCGGGCCGGACUGGGACAAGAACAACUGCAGCCGCAAGAUCAUCGGCGCACGGUUCUACGACACUGGAGUUUCUGAGGAGGCCCUCAAGACGGACUCGCUCUCGCCUCGUGACUAUAGCGGCCACGGCACGCAUUGUGCAUCCACCGCGGCGGGCUCGGCCGUGCAGGCGGCCAGCUUCAAUGGCCUCGCCAAGGGGGUAGCACGGGGAGGCGCACCACACGCUCGCAUAGCGGUCUACAAGACCUUAUGGGGCGUUGACGGCUUCGGCGAUACGUCGGCCUUUCUUGCUGCCAUCGAUGAUGCAAUCCACGAUGGUGUGGACGUGUUAUCGUUGUCCGUCGGAUUCCCGGACGAGAACUCGUUCGGCGCCCUGCAUGCGGUUCAGAAGGGGAUCACCGUGGUGUACGCGGGCGGGAACGACGGACCUAGGCCUCAGACCCUUGAGAACACUUCGCCGUGGGUCAUCACCGUGGCAGCGAGCAAGGUUGAUCGGUCAUUUCCGACGGCGAUCACACUAGGAAACAACCAGCAUAUACUGGGUCAGUCCCUCAACUACCACGUGGUGAACUCAUCGUCCGGGAGCAGCCGUUUCACAGGCCUUGUGUCAGACGAAUGUACCAUAGCAUCUCUUAAUGCCACUGCCAAGGAUGUGAAAGGGAAAAUCCUUCUCUGUUCUCCCUUGCCAGAUGAUCCAUUGGCGAUCGCCCCAGGGAUCGUUUUCAACAACGCGUUACAAUAUGUCCGGAAUGGCGGGGGAUCCGGACUUAUUUUCGCUCAAUAUACAACAGACCUUUUAGGUGUUUGCCAAGGCAUAGCCUGCGUCAUCGUGGACCUUGACACUGGUAAGAAGAUCAAAAAAUACAUCCUUGGCACAAGCUCUCCCAUGGCAAAGAUCGAACUGGCACACACCGUUAUCGGGAAAGAGAUAUCCGCACCAAAAGUGGCCUCGUUCUCCUCUAGAGGUCCAUCACCUGAUUACCCCGAAAUUAUCAAGCCUGACAUAGCUGCACCGGGAGCCAACAUCUUGGCAGCAGUGGGAAAUUCCUACGUAUUUAUGUCUGGAACGUCAAUGGCAACCCCACACGUUGCUGGCAUCGUCGCACUGUUGAAAGCUCAGCACCCAGAUUGGUCUCCUGCGGCGAUUAAAUCAGCCAUCAUAACCUCCGCCCAUGUAACCGACGAGCGUGGCAUGCCGAUACUGGCAGAAGGGGUGCCUCGAAAAAUCGCUGACCCAUUCGACUACGGCGGUGGGAACAUCAAUCCUGGCGGCGCGGCCGAUCCCGGUCUGGUCUAUGACAUCGAUCCCCGCGACUACAAUAAAUUCUUCGGGUGCACCAUCAUCAGGAGGGCAAACGUGAGUUGUGAUGCGACAACGUUACCGGCAUAUCACCUGAACCUGCCCUCUAUCGCGAUCCCUGAGCUGAGGCAUCCAAUCACCGUGUGGAGGACAGUGACAAACGUCGGCGAGGUCAACUCCGUGUACCACGCACAAGUCCAGAGCCCAGCUGGAGUCAAGAUGGAGAUUGAGCCGCCGGUGCUCGUUUUCAACGCCAUGAACAAAGUUCAGACGUUUAAGGUGAAGUUGUCGCCUAUGUGGAAGCUGCAAGGGGACUACACCUUCGGCAGCAUUACGUGGCAUAAGGAACAGAAGGCUGUGAGGAUUCCUGUUGCAACCCGAAUUACAAUUCAGGACUUCUAUGCGGAUGUUGCAUAA
This 2259-nucleotide ribosomal RNA is filed under the name Triticum aestivum (bread wheat). RNAcentral describes it as "partial small subunit ribosomal RNA". Lineage: Eukaryota; Viridiplantae; Streptophyta; Magnoliopsida; Poales; Poaceae. The record is from RNAcentral.